Molecule: ribosomal RNA, 851 nt
Filed under: uncultured Flavobacteriaceae bacterium
Lineage: Bacteria; Pseudomonadati; Bacteroidota; Flavobacteriia; Flavobacteriales; Flavobacteriaceae
Description: bacterial SSU rRNA
Rfam family: Bacterial small subunit ribosomal RNA
Source: RNAcentral
AGCGGCAGGCCUAACACAUGCAAGUCGAGGGGUAACAGGAAGUGCUUGCACUUCGCUGACGACCGGCGCACGGGUGAGUACCGCGUAUACAAUCUGCCUCAUACUAGGGGAUAGCCCGAAGAAAUUUGGAUUAAUACCCUAUAGUAUCUUUUUAAGGCAUCUUAUUAAGAUUAAAGGUUACGGUAUGAGAUGAGUAUGCGUUCUAUUAGCUAGUAGGUGUGGUAACGGCACACCUAGGCUACGAUAGAUAGGGGCCCUGAGAGGGGGAUCCCCCACACUGGUACUGAGACACGGACCAGACUCCUACGGGAGGCAGCAGUGAGGAAUAUUGGACAAUGGGCGAAAGCCUGAUCCAGCCAUGCCGCGUGCAGGAUGACUGCCCUAUGGGUUGUAAACUGCUUUUAUAUAGGAAGAAAAACUUUCUCGUGAGAAAGCUUGACGGUACUAUAAGAAUAAGGAUCGGCUAACUCCGUGCCAGCAGCCGCGGUAAUACGGAGGAUCCAAGCGUUAUCCGGAAUCAUUGGGUUUAAAGGGUCCGUAGGUGGACAAAUAAGUCAGAGGUGAAAUCCUGCAGCUCAACUGUAGAACUGCCUUUGAUACUGUUUGUCUUGAGUUAUUAUGAAGUGGUUAGAAUGUGUAGUGUAGCGGUGAAAUGCAUAGAUAUUACACAGAAUACCGAUUGCGAAGGCAGAUCACUAAUAAUUAACUGACACUGAGGGACGAAAGCGUGGGUAGCGAACAGGAUUAGAUACCCUGGUAGUCCACGCCGUAAACGAUGGUCACUAGCUGUUUGGACUUCGGUCUGAGUGGCUAAGCGAAAGUGAUAAGUGACCCACCUGGGGAGUACGUCG